UCUGGAAUGGCAGAAUAGUGCAUUGGAUUUAAACCCCAAAUAUGAAGUUUAACCUUUUUUUAGAA
RNAcentral lists this transfer RNA (65 nucleotides) under Apriona swainsoni. RNAcentral's name for it is "tRNA-Leu". It matches the Rfam family "tRNA". From Rfam's summary of the family: Transfer RNA (tRNA) molecules are approximately 80 nucleotides in length. Their secondary structure includes four short double-helical elements and three loops (D, anti-codon, and T loops). Further hydrogen bonds mediate the characteristic L-shaped molecular structure. tRNAs have two regions of fundamental functional importance: the anti-codon, which is responsible for specific mRNA codon recognition, and the 3' end, to which the tRNAs corresponding amino acid is attached (by aminoacyl-tRNA synthetases). tRNAs cope with the degeneracy of the genetic code in two manners: having more than one tRNA (with a specific anti-codon) for a particular amino acid; and 'wobble' base-pairing, i.e. permitting non-standard base-pairing at the 3rd anti-codon position. The record is from RNAcentral. Lineage: Eukaryota; Metazoa; Arthropoda; Insecta; Coleoptera; Cerambycidae. RNAcentral also lists the same sequence under 1 other name.